This 663-nucleotide ribosomal RNA is filed under the name uncultured cyanobacterium. RNAcentral's name for it is "bacterial SSU rRNA". It matches the Rfam family "Bacterial small subunit ribosomal RNA", at positions 99 to 795 of the family's 1533-position model. Lineage: Bacteria; Bacillati; Cyanobacteriota. The record is from RNAcentral.
CGGACGGGUGAGUAACGCGUGAGAAUCUAGCUUCAGGUCGGGGACAACCACGGGAAACUGUGGCUAAUACCGGAUAUGCCGAGAGGUGAAAGGCUUGCUGCCUGAAGAUGAGCUCGCGUCUGAUUAGCUAGUAGGUGUGGUAAAAGCGCACCUAGGCGACGAUCAGUAGCUGGUCUGAGAGGAUGAUCAGCCACACUGGGACUGAGACACGGCCCAGACUCCUACGGGAGGCAGCAGUGGGGAAUUUUCCGCAAUGGGCGAAAGCCUGACGGAGCAAUACCGCGUGAGGGAGGAAGGCUCUUGGGUUGUAAACCUCUUUUCUCAGGGAAGAAAAAAAUGACGGUACCUGAGGAAUAAGCAUCGGCUAACUCCGUGCCAGCAGCCGCGGUAAUACGGAGGAUGCAAGCGUUAUCCGGAAUGAUUGGGCGUAAAGGGUCCGCAGGUGGCUAUGUAAGUCUGCUGUUAAAGAACCUAGCUUANCUAGGUAAAAGCAGUGGAAACUACAAGGCUAGAGUGCGUUCGGGGUAGAGGGAAUUCCUGGUGUAGCGGUGAAAUGCGUAGAUAUCAGGAAGAACACCAGUGGCGAAGGCGCUCUACUAGGCCGCAACUGACACUGAGGGACGGAAGCUAAGGGAGCGAAUGGGAUUAGAUACCCCAGUAGUC